GUGGGGAAUAUUGCACAAUGGGCGAAAGCCUGAUGCAGCGACGCCGCGUGGGGGAUGACGGUCUUCGGAUUGUAAACUCCUUUCAGUAGGGACGAAGCGAAAGUGACGGUACCUGCAGAAGAAGCACCGGCCAACUACGUGCCAGCAGCCGCGGUAAUACGUAGGGUGCAAGCGUUGUCCGGAAUUACUGGGCGUAAAGAGCUCGUAGGCGGUUUGUCACGUCGUCUGUGAAAUCCUCCAGCUCAACUGGGGGAGUGCAGGCGAUACGGGCAGACUUGAGUACUACAGGGGAGACUGGAAUUCCUGGUGUAGCGGUGAAAUGCGCAGAUAUCAGGAGGAACACCGGUGGCGAAGGCGGGUCUCUGGGUAGUAACUGACGCUGAGGAGCGAAAGCAUGGGGAGCAAACAGGAUUAGAUACCCUAGUAGUCC
RNAcentral lists this ribosomal RNA (430 nucleotides) under uncultured bacterium. RNAcentral's name for it is "bacterial SSU rRNA". It matches the Rfam family "Bacterial small subunit ribosomal RNA", at positions 354 to 796 of the family's 1533-position model. The record is from RNAcentral.